RNAcentral lists this ribosomal RNA (297 nucleotides) under uncultured bacterium. RNAcentral describes it as "partial 16S ribosomal RNA". It matches the Rfam family "Bacterial small subunit ribosomal RNA", at positions 355 to 639 of the family's 1533-position model. The record is from RNAcentral.
UAGGGAAUCUUCCACAAUGGACGCAAGUCUGAUGGAGCAACGCCGCGUGAGUGAAGAAGGCUUUCGGGUCGUAAAACUCUGUUAUUGAAGAAGAACGUGUGUGACAGUAACUGGUCAUGCAGUGACGGUAUUCAAUCAGAAAGUCACGGCUAACUACGUGCCAGCAGCCGCGGUAAAUACGUAGGUGGCAAGCGUUGUCCGGAUUUAUUGGGCGUAAAGCGAGUGCAGGCGGUCUUUUAAGUCUGAUGUGAAAAGCCUUCGGCUUAAACCGAAGAAAGGGCAUCGGAAAACUGGGAG